This is a long non-coding RNA of Sturnus vulgaris (Common starling), 1031 nucleotides long. RefSeq lists it as uncharacterized. NCBI's taxonomy places the organism in Eukaryota, Metazoa, Chordata, Aves, Passeriformes, Sturnidae. The record is from RefSeq and is a predicted model, not a curated record.
GGACACAGUGGGGUUUUUCCAGUGAUACAGCUCAGACACCACAGCCAGGCUCACCCAGCUCCUGGCACCUGUGAUUGAAAUCAAUCCGAGCUCUGUAGCUCAGUUCCUGUGCUCGUGCUUCAGGACAAACUCGGUACCACUGUACAUCCCAGGGAACAGAUGGAUUUUUCUUUUUAAUUAGGAGCUGCUGCAGAAGAUGAACUGGGAUACAAAGCAGAUUCCCAUCUUCUUUCCUUCUGGGGGUGCUGGGCAUAGGAACAGGUGUUGUAGCAGUAACACAACACAAAGGGCUCUCACAGGACGUGCAUCAGAAAAACAGCAGAAUAAAAAGAGUAAACAAUAAAUCAUUCCUGGACGAGGGAGCUCUGAACUCAAAAAUCUUGACAUGGAGAUGUUAUCUGAGUGUCACUCAGUUGUUGUCUCUAAGCAAUAGCAUCCCUGCUCAGCACCACGUGCAGUGAAUAACCACUGAUGUUUGUUCUGCUGUUCCUCUGACAGCUUCCACUCCCCAGGAACACAUCCCACUGCUGCAGGUCUGCCUUGCUUCACAAUCUGACCAUCCCUGCUGAGGGUUGCUGCUUUGGACACCUUCCACUAUCCCAUGUUGCUCCAAGCCCUGUCCAACCUGGUUUUGAACAUUUCCAGUUUGAUUGCUGAGUCCAAACAUUUGUAAGGGAAAAAAUAUUUCCAUCUACACAUCAGCAAUGAUCUACCCAGUGGCACAGGAGAGAAACAAAAAGCUGAUUUUUCCCUUGCCACAACCCCAGCUGUAAGAAAUGUGAACAAUGAAGCACAGAGCACCACACAAGUUCCAAAACAAACAAGUUUACAUGCAGACAGGCUUGAGGCCAGCUAAGCUGACACAAUCUGUAUCACAUAUGAGAAGCUUUGCCAGGGAAUUUGAAGCCAAUCUUUGCUCCCAUUUUUAAGCAGAAAAUCCUUAUGUCAAAGAAAAAAACUGUAGAGAAAAGCAUGGACUGAGUAUUUGGGGCUAAAGGCAUAAAAAUAAACCUGCACCACUGAAUAGUGGA